Molecule: ribosomal RNA, 512 nt
Filed under: Aeshna crenata
Lineage: Eukaryota; Metazoa; Arthropoda; Insecta; Odonata; Aeshnidae
Description: partial 16S rRNA
Rfam family: Bacterial large subunit ribosomal RNA
Source: RNAcentral
GUCUUCUUGUUAUAUUUAGGAAGUCUGGCCUGCCCAGUGAAAAUAAUUUAACGGCCGCGGUAUACUGACCGUGCAAAGGUAGCAUAAUCAUUAGUCUUUUAAUAGAGGGCUGGUAUGAAGGGUUUAACGAGGUGUUGACUGUCUCAUUUAAUUUGAAUUUAGAACUUAAUUUUUUAGUUAAAAAGCUAAAAUUUUAUUGGAAGACGAGAAGACCCUAUAGAGCUUUAUAUUUUUACUAUUAAUUUAUUAUAGAUUAUUAUUAUUUAUUAUUGGUAUAAAAUAUUUUGUUGGGGUGACAAAAAUAUAUAAAUAACUUUUUUAUUUCAUUUACAUUGCUAUAUGAAUAUUAGAUCCAAUCUUAUUGAUUGUUAGAUUAAGUUACCUUAGGGAUAACAGCGUAAUCCCUCUCCAGAGUUCAUAUUUACAGAGGGGCUUGCGACCUCGAUGUUGGAUUAAGAUAAUAAUUAGGUGUAGCCGCUUAAUUAAUAGGUCUGUUCGACCUUUAAAUUCUU